UUGAAAGGGAAACGAUUGAAGUCAGUCGUACCAGCGGGAAAUCAACCUUUCGAGUGGGGGUUUUGGAGUUUUUUGAAGAGUGUCAAAACCUUUGAGAUUUCAAAAUAUUCGCUCUUUUGGUGUACUUUCUCGUGGGUAGGUUAACAUCGAUUUUGAUCAUCAUAAAAAGAUUGGAGGAAUGUAGCUUCGAUCUUGUAUUGAAGUGUUAUAGCCUUUGGUAAAUGUGAUGAUUAGGAUCGAGGAUUGCAACGAAUACCCUUUUGGGCUAUCCGCCUGAUCUCUGAUACGUGGCCUUGGUAUCGAAAGCUUGCUUAUGGUAUUAAGGUAUUACGGUCAAAAGGUUAGAACGGAUUACAUUCGUUAAGGAUGUUGACGUA
Molecule: ribosomal RNA, 377 nt
Filed under: uncultured Glomeromycotina
Lineage: Eukaryota; Fungi; Glomeromycota
Description: LSU rRNA
Source: RNAcentral